Molecule: regulatory RNA element, 134 nt
Rfam family: Ribosomal protein L20 leader
About the family: This family is a putative r-protein leader autoregulatory structure found in B. subtilis and other low-GC Gram-positive bacteria. It is located in the 5' untranslated regions of mRNAs encoding initiation factor 3 followed by ribosomal proteins L35 and L20 (infC-rpmI-rplT). A Rho-independent transcription terminator structure that is probably involved in regulation is included at the 3' end.
Source: Rfam
AAGAAAAAGCAGAAGCACCCGCUUCUCGCCUAGGUGAUAAGGAUUGCCGGGCUGACGAGAUGAAAUUGAACGGACAGGUAAGGUCCGUUUUGAUAAAGCGGGAUGCAGUUUGCACCCCGCUUUUUUUGCUUGAU